AAUACAAUGAGUCUUUCCCUAAGGAUGUCUUCGUGGACGAUGUGUCUCAUCUGGCUGAAGGUAGUGGCAAAUGUCGGGAUAAGUUCUUCUGCAAAGUGC
Scomber japonicus (chub mackerel) is the source of this 99-nucleotide long non-coding RNA. RefSeq lists it as uncharacterized. The record is from RefSeq and is a predicted model, not a curated record. NCBI's taxonomy places the organism in Eukaryota, Metazoa, Chordata, Actinopteri, Scombriformes, Scombridae. The transcript has 3 exons.